CGGCCCAAACUCCUACGGGAGGCAGCAGUAGGGAAUCUUCCACAAUGGGCGAAAGCCUGAUGGAGCAACGCCGCGUGGGUGAAGAAGGUCUUCGGAUCGUAAAACCCUGUUGUUAGAGAAGAAAGUGCGUGAGAGUAACUGUUCACGUUUCGACGGUAUCUAACCAGAAAGCCACGGCUAACUACGUGCCAGCAGCCGCGGUAAUACGUAGGUGGCAAGCGUUAUCCGGAUUUAUUGGGCGUAAAGGGAACGCAGGCGGUCUUUUAAGUCUGAUGUGAAAGCCUUCGGCUUAACCGGAGUAGUGCAUUGGAAACUGGGAGACUUGAGUGCAGAAGAGGAGAGUGGAACUCCAUGUGUAGCGGUGAAAUGCGUAGAUAUAUGGAAGAACACCAGUGGCGAAAGCGGCUCUCUGGUCUGUAACUGACGCUGAGGUUCGAAAGCGU
RNAcentral lists this ribosomal RNA (443 nucleotides) under uncultured bacterium. RNAcentral's name for it is "bacterial SSU rRNA". It matches the Rfam family "Bacterial small subunit ribosomal RNA", at positions 327 to 762 of the family's 1533-position model. The record is from RNAcentral.